CUACCAUGGCGUUUACGGGUAACGGAGGAUUAGGGUUCGAUUCCGGAGAGGGAGCCUGAGAAACGGCUACCACAUCUAAGGAAGGCAGCAGGCGCGUAAAUUACCCAAUCCUGACUCAGGGAGGUAGUGACAAGAAAUAACGGACCGUUCGCCAUCUGGCGUCGGGACUGCAAUGAGCCGAAUUUACACCCCUUAGCGAGGACCAAUUGGAGGGCAAGUCUGGUGCCAGCAGCCGCGGUAAUUCCAGCUCCAAUAGCGUAUAUUAAAGUUGUUGCAGUUAAAAAGCUCGUAGUUGGAUCUCUGCGAGGGUGCCAAUGUCCGCCGGCGCGCGUGCGCAGCGGCGCCCUCGCAUCCUUCUGUUACCACCUCUCGGCAUUCACUUGCUGGUGGUCGGCUCAGAGAAUUUACCUUGAGAAAAUUAGAGUGUUUCAGGCAGGCUAGGCCGGAAUACAUUAGCAUGGAAUAAUGGAAUAGGACUACGGUCUCGUUGUUGGUUUGAGGGACUGCAGUAAUGAUUAAUAGGGAUAGUUGGGGGCAUUAGUAUUUAAUUGUCAGAGGUGAAAUUCUCAGAUUUGUUAAAGACUAACUUAUGCGAAAGCAUUUGCCAAGGAUGUUUUCAUUAAUCAA
This 627-nucleotide ribosomal RNA is filed under the name Ciliophora sp. RNAcentral's name for it is "SSU rRNA". It matches the Rfam family "Eukaryotic small subunit ribosomal RNA", at positions 341 to 980 of the family's 1831-position model. The record is from RNAcentral. Lineage: Eukaryota; Ciliophora.